Molecule: ribosomal RNA, 468 nt
Filed under: uncultured bacterium
Lineage: Bacteria
Description: partial 16S ribosomal RNA
Rfam family: Bacterial small subunit ribosomal RNA
Source: RNAcentral
GACGAACGCUGGCGGCGUGCUUAACACAUGCAAGUCGAACGGAAAGGCCCUGCUUUUGUGGGUUUCUCGAUUGGCGAACGGGGGAGUAACACGUGAGUAACCUGCCCUUGACUGUGUGAUAACUUCAGGAAACUGGGGCUAAUACCGGAUAGGAUCUCCUGCUCCAUGGUGGGGGUUGGAAAGUGUCGGCGGUUGGGGCUGGUCUCGCGGCUUAUCAGCUGGUUUGGGGGGUAGUUGCUUACGAAGGGUUUGACGGGUAGCCUGCCUGAGAGGGUGACCAGCCACCUUGCGCCUGAGGUAGGGACCAGAAUCCUACCGGCCGCAGUAGUGGAGAAUCUUGCACAAUGGGGGGACGUCUGAUGUAGAAACGCCCCGUGCGGGAUGCACGGCUUCGGGUUGUAAACCGCUUUCGCCUGUGCUGAAGCGUGCGUGACGGUACUGGGUAAAGAAGCCACGGCUAACUACGUG